This is an RNA transcript of Pyrus x bretschneideri (Chinese white pear), 2292 nucleotides long. It is a transcript of the gene named phosphoglucan phosphatase LSF1, chloroplastic, with no coding region annotated. The transcript has 11 exons. Lineage: Eukaryota; Viridiplantae; Streptophyta; Magnoliopsida; Rosales; Rosaceae. The record is from RefSeq and is a predicted model, not a curated record.
GAGAGAGAGAGAGAGAGAGAGAGAGAGAGAGAGAGAGAGAGAGAGAGAGAGAAGCUUCUCGCUCCAGCACAAUCUCGGCAACAAAUUCUAACGGUUUGAAUUUCCUCAACGGGAAUAACCGUCACCGAUUCCUCGGGAAGAAGAAGAUGGCGACUCUGCAACUUCCGGGUUGCAGAGCUAUCGAUCGCUCUUCGCCUCCGCCGUUGAUCAACGACUCUUGCUCUUCCUCCGCGUUUUGGGGACGACACGUGGCUUUCAUCACCGCCCGUCGUUCCUCGACAGAGAAGCUCCGGUCCUACGGCGGAGCGUUUAGGAUCGUGGCGAAGUCGAGCGGUUCGACUGCGUCGUCGUUCAAGAUGAACUUGAACGAGUACAUGGUCACUCUCGACAAACCGCUCGGGAUUCGGUUCGCGCUCUCCGUCGACGGCAGAAUCUUCGUCCACGCCAUCAAGAAAGGGGGGAAUGCGGAGAAGUCCAGGAUAGUAAUGGUGGGCGACACAUUGAAAAAGGCCGGGGAUUUGUCCGCCGGCCGGCUCGUUGAGGCCACCGAUUUUGGUGAUACACAGAAGAUGCUGAAGGAGAAAACAGGAUCUGUUAGCCUGGUUCUUGAGAGACCCUUCUCUCCUUUUCCAAUUCAGCAACUGCUUCUUAUGAAUGAUCUCGAUAAUCUGUUCAACAGAGGUAGAGUUUCUUUUGCAACUUGGAACAAGGCUGUGCUGGCUUCAAGUUUGCAGUCAUCUCCGGGAACCGGUGGGAACUCUGGCUUUGUUACGUUCUCCUCGAAGUUUCUGAAACCACGAGGAUGGAAUUAUUUGAGUGACCAAAAUUGUCAUAUUCAAUCACAAAUGCAGAAGAAUACUCUUGCCCAACCCCUGAGCCAGCUUGCUUGUAUUUACGCUGAAGAGGAGUCCGGAGAUGGAGAAUGGACUCAUGGGAACUUCCCACUGGAUGAAUAUGUUAAGGCACUGGAUCGCUCUAAAGGCAAGCUAUACUAUAAUCACGCUCUUGGUAUGCGCUACAGUAAGAUUACUGAACAAAUAUAUGUUGGAUCAUGCAUACAAACAGAAGAUGAUGUGGCGGUGUUGGCGAAUGUGGCAGGAGUUACUGCUAUACUGAAUUUCCAAAGUGGAUUUGAGACAGAAAAUUGGGGAAUAAAUUCCAACGCAAUAAAUGAGUCAUGCCAAAAGUUCGAUAUUCUGAUGAUCAACUAUCCUAUAAGGGAUGGAGAUUCUUUUGAUUUGAGGAAGAAACUGCCAUUCUGUGUGGGGUUAUUAUUACGCUUAUUAAAGAAGAAUCAUCGUGUGUUUGUUACUUGUACAACUGGUUUUGAUCGGUCUCCUGCUUGUGUAAUAGCAUACCUACACUGGAUGACUGAUACUUCCCUUCACGCAGCUUAUAAUUUUGUCACCGGGUUGCAUUUAUGUAAGCCUGACAGACCGGCAAUUGCUUGGGCGACAUGGGAUCUUAUAGUCAUGGUGGAAAAUGGGAAACAUGAUGGACCUCCAACACAUGCUGUGACAUUUGUAUGGAAUGGACAAGAGGGGGAGGAUGUAACCUUAGUUGGAGAUUUCACUGCAAACUGGAAAGAACCAAUUCGGGCAACUCAUAAAGGUGGAACCCGAUGGGAAGCAGAAGUCAGACUUUCACAAGGAAAGUAUUACUACAAGUUCAUUGUUAAUGGGAAUUGGCGGCAUUCAACAUUGUCCCCAUCUGAAAGGGAUGGAAGUGGGAAUGUCAACAAUAUAAUCAUUAUUGGCGAUACUGCCAGCGUGAGACCUUCUGUUCAACACCCGCAAAAGGAUGUGAAUAUUGUGAAGGUGAUUGAGAGGCCAUUGACAGAAAACGAGCGCUUCAUGCUGGCAAAAGCUGCUCGUUGCAUUUCAUUCUCAAUAUGCCCGAUUAGACUAGCUCCAAAGUAGGUUGGCAAGUACACCAUACCGCGAUCUGACGAUUUUUCGAGGCUAGAACAUACAGAUCAUGCAAAUUAGUUUCUGCUGAGUCCCUAAAAUAAAGACAUUUUCAUAAAUGUAGCAUGAUGCAAUUCUUGAGAACUUGCACACUAUCCUUGGAAGGCUUAUGUACAAACAACCCACGUGAUGGAUGAAGAAAAAAGCCACAAUGGUUGGCGACGCCAAAAAGGCGGUAUUCUAAAAUAAUCACCCGAUGUUAAGUAGAUAAGUUAAGACAUGACGAUGCGUGAUAGGCUUUUCAUAACAAUAUGAUUUCAUUGCUUGAUUUACAAGUAUAUAUGUGAGAUACAAGGAGAUUACUUGCAAGGAAAAUAUUAUCCCA